GAGAUUUAUUUAAACUAUUGCAGUGAAGGUAUCUUAUUUUCACUUCAUUUUUUCGGUUCUUUUCUAUACCCCAAGUUUAAGUUCAAUGCAAAUUUUCCAAUUGAUUGCUAAUUUUUUCAUAAGAAAGAGCUAUCGCUUUAAUCACAAACAAUGUAGCACUUCUGCCACUUGUACCUGGUACUCUUUGCGUCAAAUUCUUGAAGAUAUUUUAUGCAUGCAAAUUUAUUCAUUUCCUAAAUUUCUGGUUCUUUUAGUUUUUGGAUGUUAAAAUAUGAUUAUGAUGCUAUACUGGUCAUCUGUAUGAUUUGGCAUCUAAUUAUGUUUGAGUAUCUCGGUUUUCUUGUUUUUGAAUUGGCUGCAUAGAUGGUUGAGCAGAGGCAUGUGUACACAGUGGAUGAGGCACUUGGUCAUGUGGGUUCGGGAAAUUUCUAUAUCUUGUGCUUGGUUAUGCUGGACUGGGUUGGGUUUCAGAAGCUAUGGAGAUUAUGAUCCUCUCUUUUGUUGGACCAGCGGUGAAGUCUGAGCAGGGGCUUUCAUCAACUCAAGAGAGCCUUAUAUCUACAGCUGUUUUUGCUGGAUUGGUGGUUGUAGCUUACUCUUGAGGUAUUGUAUCAGGAAGGGUUUUCUGGGAAUAGCAAUGGUAACUGCUGGAGCUGGGCUGGUAAGUUUUUUCUCUCCAAAUUAUACAUCGUUGGUAAUUCUUCGUUGUUUGGUUGGUGUUGGUCUUGGCACUGGGCAUAUAUUCUUAUCCUGGUUUCUAGAGUUCGUUCCUGCUUCUAAUAGAGGUAAAUGGAUAGUUGUCUUUGCUGCUUUCUGGACCGUUGGACCAAUUUCUGAGGCCGCACUUGCAUGGAUUGUCAUGCCAAGAUUGAACUGGAGGUGGUUACUUGCACUGUCCUCUGUUCCAUCUUUUGUUGUGCCUUUUCUUCUUGGUAUUUCACUGGAAUCUCCAAGGUAUCUAUGCAUCAAAGGUAAAACAGCCAAUGCACUUCAUGUUCUGGAAUACGUGGCAUA
Molecule: long non-coding RNA, 1014 nt
Organism: Mangifera indica (mango)
Lineage: Eukaryota; Viridiplantae; Streptophyta; Magnoliopsida; Sapindales; Anacardiaceae
Exons: 3
Source: RefSeq, a predicted model, not a curated record